Molecule: ribosomal RNA, 253 nt
Filed under: uncultured bacterium
Lineage: Bacteria
Description: partial 16S ribosomal RNA
Rfam family: Bacterial small subunit ribosomal RNA
Source: RNAcentral
UACAGGGGGGGCAAGCGUUGUUCGGAAUUACUGGGCGUAAAGGGCUUGUAGGUGGCCAACUAAGUCACACGUGAAAUCCCCAGGCUUAACCUGGGAACUGCGUGUGAUACUGGAUGGCUUGAAUCCGGGAGAGGGAUGCGGAAUUCCAGGUGUAGCGGUGAAAUGCGUAGAUAUCUGGAGGAACACCGGUGGCGAAGGCGGCAUCCUGGACCAACACUGACACUGAGGAGCGAAAGCCAGGGGAGCAAACGGG